This 306-nucleotide ribosomal RNA is filed under the name uncultured bacterium. Its description in RNAcentral is "partial 16S ribosomal RNA". It matches the Rfam family "Bacterial small subunit ribosomal RNA", at positions 507 to 807 of the family's 1533-position model. The record is from RNAcentral.
GACAGCAGCAGCCGCGGUAAUACGAAGGGGGCUAGCGUUGCUCGGAAUUACUGGGCGUAAAGGGCGCGUAGGCGGACAGUUCAGUCGGGGGUGAAGGCCCGGGGCUCAACCUCGGAAUUGCCUUCGAUACUGGCUGUCUUGAGUAUGAGAGAGGUGUGUGGAACUCCGAGCGUAGAGGUGAAAUUCGUAGAUAUUCGGAAGAACACCAGUGGCGAAGGCGACACACUGGCUCAUUACUGACGCUGAGGCGCGAAAGCGUAGGGAGCAAACAGGAUUAGAUACCCGGGUAGUCCCUGUCUCUUAUAC